RNAcentral lists this ribosomal RNA (301 nucleotides) under uncultured bacterium. RNAcentral's name for it is "partial 16S ribosomal RNA". It matches the Rfam family "Bacterial small subunit ribosomal RNA", at positions 509 to 807 of the family's 1533-position model. The record is from RNAcentral.
CAGUAGCCGCGGUAAAACGUAGGUGGCAAGCGUUGUCCGGAUUUAUUGGGUGUAAAGCGAGCGCAGGCGGUCAAUUAAGUCUGAUGUGAAAGCCCCCGGCUCAACCGGGGAGGGUCAUUGGAAACUGGUUGACUUGAGUGCAGAAGAGGAGAGUGGAAUUCCAUGUGUAGCGGUGAAAUGCGUAGAUAUAUGGAGGAACACCAGUAGCGAAGGCGACUCUCUGGUCUGUAACUGACGCUGAGGCUCGAAAGCGUGGGUAGCAAACAGGAUUAGAUACCCCUGUAGUCCCUGUCUCUUAUAC